GCUGGGCAUGGUGGCUCGUGCCUAUAGUCCCAGCUACUUGGGAGGCUGAGGCUGGAGGAUUAGAUGGCUUGAGCCCAGGAGUUCUGGGCUGUAGUGUGCUAUGCCGAUUGGGUGUCUGCACUAAGUCUGGCAUCAAUAUGGUGAACUCCAGGGAGUGGGGGACCACCAGGUUGCCUAGGGAGGGAUGAACUGGCCCAGGUCAGAAAUGGAGCAGGUCAAAACUCUCAUGCUGAUCAGUAGUGGGAUGGCACCUGUGAAUAGCCAUUGCACUCCAGCCUGGGCAAGAUACUGAGACCCAGUCUCUU
This is an unclassified non-coding RNA of Callithrix jacchus (white-tufted-ear marmoset), 305 nucleotides long. It matches the Rfam family "Metazoan signal recognition particle RNA". From Rfam's summary of the family: The signal recognition particle (SRP) is a universally conserved ribonucleoprotein. It is involved in the co-translational targeting of proteins to membranes. The eukaryotic SRP consists of a 300-nucleotide 7S RNA and six proteins: SRPs 72, 68, 54, 19, 14, and 9. The record is from Ensembl. Lineage: Eukaryota; Metazoa; Chordata; Mammalia; Primates; Cebidae.